GGGUCAGUAGGUUGGUCGUGCCACCGGUACGUACUGGUCUCACUGAUUCCUCCUUCCUGAAGAACCGUAAUGCCAUUAAUUUGGUGUUGCGGGGAAACAGGACUGUUACUUCGAAAAAAUUAGAGUGUUUAAAGCAAGCUAACGCUUGAAUACAUUAGCAUGGAAUAAUGAAACAGGACGAUCGAUCCUAUUUUGUUGGUUUCUAGGAUUGACGUA
RNAcentral lists this ribosomal RNA (216 nucleotides) under Glomeromycotina sp. RNAcentral describes it as "partial small subunit ribosomal RNA". The stretch from base 44 to 216 matches the Rfam family "Eukaryotic small subunit ribosomal RNA", at positions 690 to 864 of the family's 1831-position model. The record is from RNAcentral. Lineage: Eukaryota; Fungi; Glomeromycota.